RNAcentral lists this long non-coding RNA (450 nucleotides) under Mus caroli (Ryukyu mouse). RNAcentral's name for it is "lncRNA (MGP_CAROLIEiJ_G0006864.1)". The record is from RNAcentral. Lineage: Eukaryota; Metazoa; Chordata; Mammalia; Rodentia; Muridae.
GGUAUCUGCUCGUGGUAAGUGACAAGUCACCCACCACAAGGAAGAAUGGAGAGAAGGGAUAUUUUAAGAUUUUCUAGUGCUGCGAAUGAUCUCAGGUGGGAAAAUGCUUGCCUUACAUGCAAGAAUUCCUGGCUUCAAUCUCUGCAGCUCACGAAUAGUCCCAGAACCACAGAAGUCCAUAAAGUAUCUAGUCAUCCUACAAAGAAGAAGAGAGGAGAAAUGGCAAAAUGUACAUCAGAGAGGAAGCCUCCAUCUAGAACUAUCACAAGUACAUCGAAAGCCAAGAGGUGAAGGUCCCAAAAAUCUGGCCAACAACACUUGAAGAGAAAUUAAUCUUAUACAACCAAGAGACAGAGGAAGACUCCACCAUCUCUGGGGAUGGGGGGAGAAGUAGAUAAAAAGCUAGUUGGGCUAGGUCAGACUAAAAAAAAAAACAUCUGGUUAACUAUG